UGAAACGCUGGCGGCGUGCUUAACACAUGCAAGUCGAACGGAGUUUUUAAACGGAAGUUUUCGGAUGGAAGUUUAGAAACUUAGUGGCGGACGGGUGAGUAACGCGUGGGUAACCUGCCUCAUACAGGGGGAUAACAGUUAGAAAUGACUGCUAACACCGCAUAAUAUAGCGAAACCGCAUGAUUUUUGCUAUCAAAUAUUUAUAGGUAUGAGAUGGGCCCGCGUCUGAUUAGCUAGUUGGUGGGGUAAAAGCCUACCAAGGCGACGAUCAGUAGCCGGCUUGAGAGAGUGACCGGCCACAUUGGGACUGAGACACGGCCCAAACUCCUACGGGAGGCAGCAGUGGGGAAUAUUGGACAAUGGGGGAAACCCUGAUCCAGCCGACGCCGCGUGAGUGAAGAAGUAUUUCGGUAUGUAAAGCUCUAUCAGCAGGGAAGAUAAUGACAGUACCUGACUAAGAAGCCCCGGCUAACUACGUGCCAGCCGCCGC
This 490-nucleotide ribosomal RNA is filed under the name uncultured bacterium. RNAcentral's name for it is "bacterial SSU rRNA". It matches the Rfam family "Bacterial small subunit ribosomal RNA", at positions 32 to 518 of the family's 1533-position model. The record is from RNAcentral.